This 69-nucleotide transfer RNA is filed under the name Scincella rupicola. Its description in RNAcentral is "tRNA-Trp". It matches the Rfam family "tRNA". Rfam says of the family: Transfer RNA (tRNA) molecules are approximately 80 nucleotides in length. Their secondary structure includes four short double-helical elements and three loops (D, anti-codon, and T loops). The record is from RNAcentral. Lineage: Eukaryota; Metazoa; Chordata; Lepidosauria; Squamata; Scincidae.
AGAGACUUAGGUUAAUUAAACCAGCGGCCUUCAAAGCCACAAACAAGAGUUAAAAUCUCCUAGCCUCUG